RNAcentral lists this long non-coding RNA (943 nucleotides) under Triticum aestivum (bread wheat). Its description in RNAcentral is "long non-coding RNA (TAES_LNC000152)". The record is from RNAcentral. Lineage: Eukaryota; Viridiplantae; Streptophyta; Magnoliopsida; Poales; Poaceae.
UCAGCAGCAACAGCAACAUCACUCUUUUGUUCUCCACCUUCUGGUACCUCUUGUUCCAUAGAACUUUUCAUGUUAGCCUGACAUUUAAAGAAAGAUGUACACAUGAGCAGAGUACUUUGUCCAUCAAUAUAUUGCAGUUGGUUCUGAAUGACUAGGAAACUUUAUAAACAAACUAUUCAAGAAUCGAUGUCCUAGUAGCAGAAUUUAAGAAGCUAACAUCAUGGUACAUACACUUUGGUAUUUGAAAAAACUUAGCACUUUUGUGGAACAAACACGUUCAACGCCAUACACCCCAGGGUUGAGCUGUUUGUGUUCAACGCGAGAGUGGAUGGCGCUGAACUGCGCUACCUUCGUCGUUGUCAUUUUUGCCUGCCUCAAGCCAUCCACCACAUGUGAUUUUCCCGGUAGCACAAGGUGAAACAACAGAGUAGGCAUCAGUGAUUGCCAUCUUGGAGCAGAAGCUUGCAAAUAAGUUAAACCUGUACGUGCAUGAAUAAAGAAAAGAGAAAAAAAAUAGAGUAAAGGAUGAACGCUGCUACUGGGUAUGGAAGAAUCUUUCUAGGCCAAGCACUGCAGCUCGUUAUAUAACAAGCCAACACUCACUUUGGUAAUUCACCCAAGGGUCAAAGAAAGGAGGCCACGGUUCAACACCAUAUAUGUUGGCGUUGAGCUCUAACAACUCAACGCCGGCUGUUGAGCCUAUCAUGUGUGUUUGCUCCAUAAAAAUAAUAAAUGAUGAUGCAUCACUAAUAUGUCAUGUUUACAACUCCUCAAUUAAAUGACCAUCUCUCCUUUAGAGGUGAAAAGUGCCAGAACUGGCCCUUGUUUGUUUUCAGGGGCUAAAUAUGGCAAGUAAUUUUGAUUGGGGGUAGUAUGCGUACAUACAAUAUUUUUGGUGUUCCUGAUGGUAUGCAAGUUUUUUUCGAUUGUUGUUAAAUUCAGG